This is a long non-coding RNA of Nerophis ophidion (straightnose pipefish), 563 nucleotides long. RefSeq lists it as uncharacterized. The transcript is spliced from 3 exons. NCBI's taxonomy places the organism in Eukaryota, Metazoa, Chordata, Actinopteri, Syngnathiformes, Syngnathidae. The record is from RefSeq and is a predicted model, not a curated record.
CCAGCUUCAGUGAGCACUGACUCCUGCGGCUGUGGAGAGAGAUACUAUGGACUGUAUGUGACGCCCCUUUUCUUUUUGUCCCUAUGAAAAAGGUGGCGACUUGUUCGGGGUGUACGCCGCCUUCCGGCCGAAUGCAGCUGCGAGGCUCCCGUGACCCCAAAAGGGACAAUCGGUAGAAAAUGGAUGGAUGGAUGGAUAUUAUAUAGGCUCAUAACAUGCAACUGAAGAUUCUUUUGAUAUCAUAUCGAUGAGUCUUGCUUCCAGUUUAUGUCAAAUUUGAGCAUCUCAGAAGAUUGGGGCUUUUCUAACUGUGAACCAUGAUCAUCAUAAUGAUAAGAAAUAAGCUUGCCAUAUCUCGCUGUAAUGAGUUGUUGUCACAUAUUAAUUUCACAUGUGAAGUUGAAUUGCUCAUAUAAAUCAACUUUAGCACAGUAUUACAUAUUUUGGAGUUUUCACAUGUCAUCUGUGGUAGUUUAAUAGUGUAAAUUGGAAUAAAUGUAAUAUAUCUUCAAUACUUUCUUUACACCCUAAAUCUGCCCAUGCUAAUAAACAACAUGAUUCUU